RNAcentral lists this long non-coding RNA (2340 nucleotides) under Sus scrofa (pig). RNAcentral's name for it is "lncRNA (ENSSSCG00005033963.1)". Lineage: Eukaryota; Metazoa; Chordata; Mammalia; Artiodactyla; Suidae. The record is from RNAcentral.
ACCCCACCCCCAGCUGCUCCAGCAAGUUUGGAGCAGUAGAGAAAUGCUGAAACUAGGAUGGGAUCAGAUUGAGGAGGGGGCUAAAAUCACCUGUCUCACCGGAAUGUCCCCCCCUUUUCUCGCACGCCCCAGACUGGAGAGCGCUCGGGGCCUCGAAAACUGUCAGGUACCCGAACUGGGGCUAAGCGAGUUGCUAACGAGAUUGCCAAAGCCUUCCUCUGGCAGGGGCUUUGGGGUUGCUCCUAAAGCCAGGGGUCUGGCGGGUGGGGCGAGCAGAGGACCACCCCCUCACCAAGGGCAACGUUGAGAGGCUGGAGCGCUGGGAAGAAGCCGUGAGCGCUGUCUGUGCUCCGCAGCCUGCGCGGUCCAAAAGCGCUUGGAUUCCCCGAGAACCGGCGGGGAGCGUCCGGGUCCCAGUAUUCGCGGGUGGGGUGGGGGCGGCGGGAACCUGCCCCAGGGCUGGGCACUGGGCCAGGGCCGGUAGAGAGCGAUGGCACUCACGAGACGUAGUUGGGUGCGCCCGCUCGCGGGGUUCCCCUGGCAGACUCACCCCCAAGAGCAUCUAAGUGCGCGCCCACUUUGGCUGACGUCCGCUGUCCCUCUCACGGAAACUCCUACACAAACGGCACACACAUUCGCGCCCACACUCAGUAUUACAAACACCCUUCCACGCGCACACUCACCCACACACAUACACUUUCCUUCACAAAUAUGCCCGUAUACACGGCAAGCACACUCACACGCAUCACUGUACAAACCCACAUACACUCAAAAAACGUCUCCCUGUGUACCAAAUGGUCACAUACACAUGCAAACACAUCCCCCCAUGCUCUCUUCCAUACUCCUUUCUCAAAUCUCCGUACUCAUGAUUUGCGGUACGCUCAGUCCCAAAUCAUAAUCAGCGCCCGCAGAGCCCAGGUUGGAUACACACACGCGCGCGCACGCACGCACUACCCCUCCUCCCCGCACGAGCGGGGGAGGCUUCGGCCGGGCGCCCGCUUCGGAUUCCAGGUGUGGCGGCGGUUCCGUGCUCCGCGUUUUGCAGCCCGCCGCGGUGUUGGAGGCGAGGCGAGGAAGGGAGCUGGAAUAACAAAGGUGUUCUUAAAGAUGAAUAAUGCUCCGCCCCCCGUGCCGGGUCUUCUGGGGAUGAGCCACAGCCUGGAGGAGCUGAGGAGGCCACAUCACAUGAGGAAGCUUUACUGUUUCCCCUUCUCCUGAAAUGUGUCUGGGAUGGAGAGUGUGGAGAGUGGGCCCACCUUUAUCUGGGUCCACUCAGGCUGCUGCAGAGACUACCCCAGACUGGGUGGCUGAUAGACAAGACAUUCAUUUUCCACACUUCCUGAGACUGGGAAGUCUGAGAUGAAGGUAAGUGCAGAUUCAGUGUCUAGCCAGCGCCUGCUUCCUGCUUCAUAGACUCUGGCUGUCUUCUCACUGUGUCCUCAGGAGCAGAAGGGAUGCCGGAGCUCUCCGGGGCCUCUUUGAUAAGGGCACUAAUCCCAUUCAUGAGGGUGACACCCUUACACCUAACCACCUUCCCAGAGUCCCACCUCCUAGUACUGUCACCUUGGGGGUCAGUGUUUCAACCUAUGAAUUUCCAGAGGAAGUGUUCAGACCUUAGCAAUCUUGUUUUUUUUUUGUCUUUUUGCCUUUUCUAGGGCCACUCCCACGGCAUAUGGACGUUCCCAGGCUAGGGGUCUAAUCGGAGCUGUAACCGCCGGCCUACGCCAGAGCCACAGCAAUGCGGGAUCUGAGCCGCGUCUGCAACCUACACCACAGCUCACGGCAAUGCCAGAUCCCUAACCCACUGAGCAAGGCCAGGGAUGGAACCCACAACCUCAUGGUUCCUAGUCGGGUUCAUUAACCACUGCACCACCAUGGGAACUCCCAGUUUUUUUUUUUAGUGAUUUUUAGUUUUUCCAUGAUUGUUGGUUUACAAUGUCAGCAAUCUUGUUCUGACAAAGAUUCUUUAAUGAUACAAGAGAGGAGUUUUGGAGUCUCACAGCCCCCCCUUUUCCCCCCCUCCCCCGUGGACAUUGUACCCACUUCCUAGACAAGCAGACUAAGGUUUGGAGUGAGAGCCCAGAUGUCCUUGCUCAUAUUCAGAGACUGACUCCCUGGACUUUGGGUCAAGAGGGAAAUUCUCCCUCUGCUGGUUUCCAGGGCAGUGCUGCCCUGUACCUCAGCCGCUCUCAAUUUCUGGCCGGCCAGAGCCUCUUGAGCAGGAGGAGGGAUGUUGUUCCUGGUCCGCGUUGUGCCUGCUCUUGUGACGCUGGGCUUCUCUGCUGCCCACAUGCUCAUUCCUGCAAUAAAAAUACUUCUCCAAUUAGUUCUAAUUUUAAC